RNAcentral lists this ribosomal RNA (293 nucleotides) under uncultured bacterium. RNAcentral describes it as "partial 16S ribosomal RNA". It matches the Rfam family "Bacterial small subunit ribosomal RNA", at positions 505 to 796 of the family's 1533-position model. The record is from RNAcentral.
GUGCCAGCAGCCGCGGUAAAACGUAGGAGCCUAGCGUUAUCCGAAUUUACUGGGCGUAAAGCGUACGCAGACGGUCUAGCAAGUCGGAUGUGAAAGCCCCGGGCUCAACCUGGGAAAUGCAUUCGAUACUACUAGUACUUGAGUUUGGGAGAGGGAAGCGGAAUUCCUGGUGUAGAGGUGAAAUUCGUAGAUAUCAGGAGGAACACCAGCGGCGAAGGCGGCUUCCUGGCCCAAUACUGACGUUCAGGUACGAAAGCGUGGGUAGCAAACAGGAUUAGAUACCCGGGUAGUCC